UUUCCGUAGGUGAACCUGCGGAAGGAUCAUUAUUGAAAUAAACCUGAUGGGUUGUUGCUGGCUCUCUAGGGAGCAUGUGCACACUUGUCAUCUUUAUAUCUCCACCUGUGCACCUUUUGUAGAUCUGGAUAAUUUUCUGAAUGCCCCUGGCAUUCAGGUUUGGGGAUUGACUUUGUCUUUCCUUACAUUUCCAGACCUAUGUUUUCUUCAUAUACACCAUGUAUGUUAUAGAAUGUAAUGAAAAGGCCUUUGUGCCUACAAACCUAUACAACUUUCAGCAACGGAUCUCUUGGCUCUCGCAUCGAUGAAGAACGCAGCGAAAUGCGAUAAGUAAUGUGAAUUCGAGAAUUCAGUGAAUCAUCGAAUCUUUGAACGCACCUUGCGCUCCUUGGUAUUCCGAGGAGCAUGCCUGUUUGAGUGUCAUUAAUAUAUCAACCUCCUCAAGUUUUUACUUGUUGAGUGUUUGGAUGUGGGGGGUCUCUUUUUGCUGGUCUCUUUUGAGUUCAGCUCCUCUGAAAUGCAUUAGCGGAACAAUUUGUUGACUCGUUCAUUGGUGUGAUAAUAUCUACGCUAUUGACGUUGAAGCAGGUUCUGCUUCUAACAGUCCAUUGACUUGGACAAAUUUUCAUUAAUGUGACCUCAAAUCAGGUAGGACUAUUCUCUGAACUUAA
RNAcentral lists this ribosomal RNA (671 nucleotides) under Cortinarius sanguineus. RNAcentral describes it as "partial ribosomal RNA". The stretch from base 270 to 423 matches the Rfam family "5.8S ribosomal RNA". The record is from RNAcentral. Lineage: Eukaryota; Fungi; Basidiomycota; Agaricomycetes; Agaricales; Cortinariaceae.